GGCCCAGACUCCUACGGGAGGCAGCAGUGAGGAAUUCUUGCGCAAUGGAGGAACUCUGACGCAGCCACGCGCGUCCGGAAGACGCCCUAUGGGUGUAACGGCUUUUGGAUGGGAAGAAAGGUUGGGUUUCGACCUGAUUUGACGGUACCAUUUGAAUAAGCACGGCUAACUCCGUGCCAGCAGCCGCGGUAAUACGGAGGGUGCAAGCGUUGUCCGGAAUCAUUGGGUGUAAAGGGUGCGUAGGCGGGCGUCUAAGUCCGGGGUGAAAUCUUGCCGCUUAACGGUAAAAUUGCCCUGGAUACUGGGCGUCUUGAGCAUGACAGAGGUUGGUGGAAUUCGUAGUGUAGCGGUGAAAUGCAUAGAUAUUACGGAGAACACCGGUGGCGAAAGCGGCCAACUGGGUCAUUGCUGACGCUAAGGCACGAGAGCGUGGGGAGCGAACAGGAUUAGAUACCCUGGUAGUCCACGCUGUAAACGAUGUAUGCUAGUUGUGGGGCCGCAAGGUUCCGUGACGCAGUUAACGCAGUAAGCAUACCACCUGGGGAGUACGUUCGCAAGAAUGAAACUCAAAGGAAUUGACGGGGGCCCGCACAAGCGGUGGAGCAUGUGGCUUAAUUCGAUGCAACGCGAAGAACCUUACCCGGGCUAAAUCUCGGGCGACCGCCCCCGAAACGGGGCUUCCCUUCGGGGCGCCCGCGAAGGUGCUGCAUGGCUGUCGUCAGCUCGUGCCGUGAGGUGUUGCCUUAAGUGGCGCAACGAGCGCAACCCCUGUGGUUAGUUACCAGCACGUCAAGGUGGGGACUCUAGCCAGACUGCCUACGCAAGUAGUGAGGAAGGUGGGGACGACGUCAAGUCAUCAUGGCCCUUACGUCCGGGGCUGCACACGUGCUACAAUGGAUGCUACAACGGGAAGCUACCUGGCAACAGGAUGCAGAUCCCCAAAGGCAUUCUCAGUUCGGAUUGGAGUCUGCAACUCGACUCCAUGAAGGUGGAAUCGCUAGUAAUCGCGUAUCAGCAAUGACGCGGUGAAUACGUUCCCGGGCCUUGUACACACCGCCCGUCAAGCGAUGGAAGUCAGGAGUACCUGAUGUCGGUAGGCCAAUCCGUCUCAGACGG
RNAcentral lists this ribosomal RNA (1116 nucleotides) under uncultured Bacteroidota bacterium. RNAcentral's name for it is "bacterial SSU rRNA". It matches the Rfam family "Bacterial small subunit ribosomal RNA", at positions 328 to 1449 of the family's 1533-position model. Lineage: Bacteria; Pseudomonadati; Bacteroidota. The record is from RNAcentral.